RNAcentral lists this ribosomal RNA (483 nucleotides) under uncultured bacterium. Its description in RNAcentral is "bacterial SSU rRNA". It matches the Rfam family "Bacterial small subunit ribosomal RNA", at positions 30 to 526 of the family's 1533-position model. The record is from RNAcentral.
AAUGAACGCUAGCGAUAUGCUUAACACAUGCAAGUCUAACGGAGAAAUCCGUGGCAUACGGGUGAGUAAUACGUAGGAACCUACCUUAAAGUUAGGUAUAAUUAUAUCGUAUCUAAAUAUAGAUAUGAGAAGAUGACUCUUUACCUUAGUGGGAGAGUAAUCAUAAUAAUCCCUAAUAAAAAAAGAUUAAUCGCUAUAAGAUGGGCCUGCGCAGGAUUAGGUAGUUGGUAGGGUAAAAGCCUACCAAGCCAAUGAUCCUUAGCUGGUCUGAGAGGAUGAUCAGCCACAAUGGGACUGAGAUACGGCCCAUCCCCUAUAGGGGGCAGCAGUGGGGAAUAUUGGACAAUGGGCGAAAGCCUGAUCCAGCAAUAUCGAGUGAGUGAAGAAGUCCAUUUGACUAUAAAACUCUUUCAUCAAGGAUGAUAAUGACAUUAGUUGAAUAAGAAGCCCCGGCCAACUCCGUGCCAGCAGCCGCAGUAAAAC